Molecule: ribosomal RNA, 301 nt
Filed under: uncultured bacterium
Lineage: Bacteria
Description: partial 16S ribosomal RNA
Rfam family: Bacterial small subunit ribosomal RNA
Source: RNAcentral
CAGCAGCCGCGGUAAUACGAAGGGUGCAAGCGUUACUCGGAAUUACUGGGCGUAAAGCGUGCGUAGGUGGUGGUUUAAGUCCGUUGUGAAAGCCCUGGGCUCAACCUGGGAAUUGCAGUGGAUACUGGGUCACUAGAGUGUGGUAGAGGAUAGUGGAAUUUCCGGUGUAGCAGUGAAAUGCGUAGAGAUCGGAAGGAACAUCUGUGGCGAAGGCGACUAUCUGGGCCAACACUGACAUUGAGGCACGAAAGCGUGGGGAGCAAACAGGAUUAGAUACCCAGUAGUCCCUGUCUCUUAUACA